This 870-nucleotide ribosomal RNA is filed under the name uncultured fungus. Its description in RNAcentral is "LSU rRNA". It matches the Rfam family "Eukaryotic large subunit ribosomal RNA", at positions 74 to 965 of the family's 3401-position model. Lineage: Eukaryota; Fungi. The record is from RNAcentral.
AUUACCUCAGUAACGGCGAGUGAAGCGGUAACAGCUCAAAUUUGAAAUCUGGCCUCACGGUCCGAGUUGUAAUUUGUAGAGGAUGCUUCGAGCAUGGUCUGGCCUAAGUUCCUUGGAACAGGACGUCAUAGAGGGUGAGAAUCCCGUAUGCGGCCAGGUGCCUACGCUCAUGUGAAGCUCCUUCGACGAGUCGAGUUGUUUGGGAAUGCAGCUCAAAAUGGGUGGUAAAUUUCAUCUAAAGCUAAAUAUUGGCCAGAGACCGAUAGCGCACAAGUAGAGUGAUCGAAAGAUGAAAAGCACUUUGGAAAGAGAGUUAAACAGUACGUGAAAUUGUUGAAAGGGAAGCGCUUGCAACCAGACUUGCGCGCGGCCGAUCAUCCGGUGUUCUCACCGGUGCACUCGGCCGUGCUCAGGCCAGCAUCGGUUUUGGCGGCUGGAUAAAGGCCCUAGGAAUGUAGCUCCUCUCGGGGAGUGUUAUAGCCUAGGGUGCAAUGCAGCCUGCUGGGACCGAGGACCGCGCUUCGGCUAGGAUGCUGGCGUAAUGGUUGUAAGCGGCCCGUCUUGAAACACGGACCAAGGAGUCUAACAUCUAUGCGAGUGUUUGGGUGUCAAACCCAUACGCGUAAUGAAAGUGAACGGAGGUGAGAACCCUUAAGGGUGCAUCAUCGACCGGUCCUGAAGUUUACGGAAGGAUCUGAGUAAGAGCAUAGCUGUUGGGACCCGAAAGAUGGUGAACUAUGCCUGAAUAGGGUGAAGCCAGAGGAAACUCUGGUGGAGGCUCGCAGCGGUUCUGACGUGCAAACCGAUCGUCAAAUUUGGGUAUAGGGGCGAAAGACUAAUCGAACCAUCUAGUAGCUGGUUCCUGCCGAA